UACGAAGGGGGCGAGCGUUGUUCGGAUUUACUGGGCGUAAAGGGCGCGCAGGCGGCGCAUUUUGUCAGGCGUGAAAGCCCCGGGCUUAACCGGGGAACUGCAUCUGAUACUGGAUGGCUUGAGUUCGGGAGAGGGAUGCGGAAUUCCAGGUGUAGCGGUGAAAUGCGUAGAUAUCAGGAGGAACACCGAUGGCGAAGGCAGGUCUCUGGGCAUUAACUGACGCUGAGGAGCGAAAGCAUGGGGAGCAAACAGG
Molecule: ribosomal RNA, 253 nt
Filed under: uncultured bacterium
Lineage: Bacteria
Description: partial 16S ribosomal RNA
Rfam family: Bacterial small subunit ribosomal RNA
Source: RNAcentral